AGAGUUUGAUCCUGGCUCAGAACGAACGCUGGCGGCGUGGAUAAGACAUGCAAGUCGAACGCUAAUUUGGCUGUAGCAAUACAGCCAGGUUGGAGUGGCGCAAGGGUGCGUAACACGUGGGUAAUUUGCCGUGAAGUUGGGGAUAACUCGCUGAAAGGCGAGCUAAUACCGAAUGUGAUCAUUGAAAGGCAUCUUUUGAUGAUCAAAGUUGGGGACCGCAAGGCCUGACGCUUCACGAUAAGCCCGCGGCCUAUCAGCUAGUUGGUGAGGUAACGGCUCACCAAGGCUAAGACGGGUAGCUGGUCUGAGAGGACGACCAGUCACACUGGAACUGAGACACGGUCCAGACACCUACGGGUGGCAGCAGUCGAGAAUUUUUCUCAAUGGGCGAAAGCCUGAAGGAGCGACGCCGCGUGGGGGAUGAAGGGCUUCGGCUCGUAAACCCCUGUCAUUUGCGAACAAACCUUUUCACCUAACACGUGAAGAGCUGAUAGUAGCGAAAGAGGAAGGGACGGCUAACUCUGUGCCAGCAGCCGCGGUAAUACAGAGGUCCCAAGCGUUGUUCGGAUUCACUGGGCGUAAAGGGUGCGUAGGUGGCAGGGUAAGUUUGAUGUGAAAUCUCCGGGCUUAACCCGGAAACUGCAUUGAAUACUAUCCUGCUAGAGGAUUGGAGGGGGGACUGGAAUUCUCGGUGUAGCAGUGAAAUGCGUAGAUAUCGAGAGGAACACCAGUGGCGAAGGCGAGUCCCUGGACAAUACCUGACACUGAGGCACGAAAGCUAGGGGAGCAAACAGGAUUAGAUACCCUAGUAGUCC
This 815-nucleotide ribosomal RNA is filed under the name uncultured bacterium. Its description in RNAcentral is "bacterial SSU rRNA". It matches the Rfam family "Bacterial small subunit ribosomal RNA", at positions 8 to 796 of the family's 1533-position model. The record is from RNAcentral.